Molecule: ribosomal RNA, 482 nt
Filed under: uncultured bacterium
Lineage: Bacteria
Description: partial 16S ribosomal RNA
Rfam family: Bacterial small subunit ribosomal RNA
Source: RNAcentral
ACUCAAAUGAAUUGACGGGGGAGCGCACAACCGGUGGAGCAUGUUGUUUAAUUCGAUACGAAGCGAAAAACCUUACCCAGAUUUGACAUGUACCUGCACGGUUAUGGAAACAUAGCCUUCUUCGAGAGUGGUACACAGGUGAUGCAUGGCUGUCGUCAGCUCGUGUCGUGAGACGUCCGCUUAAGUGCGGUAACGAGCGCAACCCUUAUCCCGUGUUACAUUUCACGGGAGACUGCUCUGGCUCUGCCAGGGAGGAAGGAGAGGACGACGUCAAGUCAGCACGUCCCUUACAUCUGGGGCUACAAACAUCCUACAAUGGAGCCAACAACAGGUUGCGACGGGGUAACCCUGAGCCAAUCCUUAAAUGGCCCCUCAGUUCAGAUUGAGGGCUGAAAUUCGCCCUCAUGAAGCCGGAAUCGGUAGUAAUCGCAAAUCAGCAGGUUGCGGUGAAUACGUUCUCGCUCCUUGUACACACCGCCCGU